Molecule: small nuclear RNA, 108 nt
Organism: Microtus ochrogaster (prairie vole)
Lineage: Eukaryota; Metazoa; Chordata; Mammalia; Rodentia; Cricetidae
Source: Ensembl
GUGCUUGCUUCUGGUAGCACAUAUACUAAAAUUGGAACAAUACAAGGAAUAUUAGCAUAGCUACUGUGCAGACAUGACACACAAAUUUAUAAAGCAUUUCAUAUUUUU